RNAcentral lists this ribosomal RNA (1419 nucleotides) under uncultured Bordetella sp. RNAcentral describes it as "partial 16S-23S ribosomal RNA intergenic spacer". It matches the Rfam family "Bacterial small subunit ribosomal RNA". The record is from RNAcentral. Lineage: Bacteria; Pseudomonadati; Pseudomonadota; Betaproteobacteria; Burkholderiales; Alcaligenaceae.
UUCGAUUAUGGCUCCAGAUUGAACGCGCGGGUCUUUACGUAAGUCAGGGCAGCGGCGAACUGAGUCUGGUGGCGGAAAUGGCGACAGGUGGUAUGGAACUGUGCCUAGUAGCGGGGGAUAACUACGCGAAAGCGUAGCUAAUACCACCAUACGCCCUUCGGGGGAAAGCAGGGGACCUUCGGACCUCCGCACUAUUCUGAAGCGGCCGAUAUCGGAUUAGCUAGUUGGUGGGGUAACGGCUCACGCAAGGCGACGAUCCGUAGCUGGUUUGAGAGGACGACCAGCCACCUGGACUGGACAGCCAGAUAUGGGAGGCAGCGGUGGGUGCAGACUAAUGGAAACCUGAUCCAGCCAUCCCGCGUGUGCGAUAGAAGGCCUUCGGGUUGUAAAGCACUUUUGGCAGGAAAGAAACGGCCUGGGAUAAUACCCCGUGCAACUGACGGUACCUGCAGAAUAAGCACCGGCUAACCUGCGUUUGCCAGCAGCCGCGGUAGCCGCUGGGUCACCGCGUUAAUCGGAAUUACUGGGCGUAAGCGUGCGCAUGACGGUUCGGAAGAUGUGAAGUCCCAGAGCUUAACUUUGGAACAUUUUUAACUGCCGAGCUAGAGUGUGUCAGAGAGUGGAGUGCGCGUGUAGCAGUGUGCGUAGAUAUGCGGAGGAACACCGAUGGCAGGCAGCCUCCUGGGAUAACACUGACGCUCAUGCGAAAGCGUGGGGGAGCAAACAGGAUUAGAUACCCUGGUAGUCCACGCCUGCUAAACGAUAUCGCUUCAUUGUUGAGGUGCCCUGGGCGUGACAGUAGCCCGCAAGCUAACGCGUGGUGGCCGCCGGGGAAGUACGGUCGCAAGAUUAAAACUCAAGGAGUUGACGGGGACCCGCACAAGCGGUGGAUGAUGUGGAUUAAUUAGAUACAACGCGAAAAGCUACUACCCUGACAUGUCUGGUCCCGAAGGGUGGGGUAUGCCAAGAGAACCGGAACACAGGUGCUGCAUGGCUGUCAAUCGCUCGUAUAUUGAGAUAUUGGAGUUAAGUCCGCAACAGGCGCAACCCUUGUCAUUAGUUGCUACGAAGGCAUCUAAUGAGACUGCCGGUGACAAACCGGAGGAAGGUGGGGAUGACGUCAAGUCCUCAUGGCCCUUAUGGGUAGGGCUACGUCAUACAAUGGUCGGGACAGAGGGUCGCCAACCCGCGAGGGGAGCCAAUCCCAGAAACCCGAUCGUAGUCCGGAUCGCAGUCUGCAACUCGACUGCGUGAAGUCAGAAUCGCUGUUAAUCGCGGAUCAGCAUGUCGCGGUGAAUACGUUCCCGGAUGUGCCACGCCCGUCUUCGCGGUGGUUUUGCCAAAUGCAGUUAUGCUAACCGUAAGGAGAGCGAUUACCACGGUAGGAUUCAUGACUGGGGUGAAGUCGUAACAAGGUAG